Molecule: long non-coding RNA, 578 nt
Organism: Myotis davidii
Lineage: Eukaryota; Metazoa; Chordata; Mammalia; Chiroptera; Vespertilionidae
Exons: 3
Source: RefSeq, a predicted model, not a curated record
AUUUAAUAGAACUGCAACGUAUACAUGCUCAUCGUUUCCAAAAGCUGUUUAAUUUGACUGUUCUCCUCCAGCAGAAUGAAGAGGUCUGUUAGCAGAAAUAAUCAACAGAACUGUCAACAUCAUUAAUGAGAAUUUUAAUGUUCCUGCCUAACAAGACUGGUCAAGGGCCUCCUGCCAAUCACCUGCACUGGGGCCAUUCCUGAGCAAAGGUGUCUGGGAUGGGGCGUUUUUCCUGGGAUGUGUCAUAUGUUUUCACAGGUGAGAGACGCUAAAGCAUCCCUUUAAUUCCAAAGGGCCUAUACAAUUUCCAGAACAGCUCGGAGAUAUCACACCGAGGUAAAAAUGGCUCACCAUGGUUUAAAAUGACUUGGGUUCAUUUUUUGAAAAGGCUGUAUGAAUUCUGGGAUGGUCUAGCUAAUGUUCAAGGCUUCAUUUUUCUUUAUUCAACAGAGCUGGUGGAAGUGAUCCACCUUUGGAAUUGGCGCACCAACUUCCUUAUAAAAAAAUGUAGGUAGGGUCUACGAUAUAUCAAGCAGUUUUGUUUUUGUUUUUAACCCUACCCGAGGGUAUUUUAAAUU